UCUUAAAGACUGUUCUCAGUUCGGACUGCAGUCUGCAACUCGACUGCACGAAGCUGGAAUCGCUAGUAAUCGCGGAUCAGCACGCCGCGGUGAAUACGUUCCCGGGCCUUGUACACACCGCCCGUCACACCAUGGAAGUCUGCAAUGCCCGAAGCCGGUGGCCUAACCACUUAUGUGGAAGGAGCCGUCUAAGGCAGGGCAGAUGACUGGGGUGAAGUCGUAACAAGGUAGC
This 232-nucleotide ribosomal RNA is filed under the name uncultured bacterium. RNAcentral describes it as "partial 16S ribosomal RNA". It matches the Rfam family "Bacterial small subunit ribosomal RNA", at positions 1273 to 1500 of the family's 1533-position model. The record is from RNAcentral.